RNAcentral lists this ribosomal RNA (743 nucleotides) under Noronhia congesta. RNAcentral describes it as "eukaryotic LSU rRNA". The stretch from base 310 to 465 matches the Rfam family "5.8S ribosomal RNA". The record is from RNAcentral. Lineage: Eukaryota; Viridiplantae; Streptophyta; Magnoliopsida; Lamiales; Oleaceae.
GUCCACUGAACCUUAUCAUUUAGAGGAAGGAGAAGUCGUAACAAGGUUUCCGUAGGUGAACCUGCGGAAGGAUCAUUGUCGAAACCUGCACGGCAGACCCGCGAACCCGUUCCACAGCUCACCCGGGAGUACGACGCGGGCGACGCCCCGCCUCGGAGACCCGUUCCGUCGACGCGCGCCUCGCGCACGUCGUGCGGCCCAACGAACCCCGGCGCGAAAAGCGUCAAGGAACACUCAAAGCGUCGCCCGCCCCGGGAUGCCCCGUCCGCGGUGCGCUCUCGGGGAUCGGGCGCGUGUCGAAUUCGAAACGACUCUCGGCAACGGAUAUCUUGGCUCUCGCAUCGAUGAAGAACGCAGCAAAAUGCGAUACUUGGUGUGAAUUGCAGAAUCCCGUGAACCAUCGAGUUUUUGAACGCAAGUUGCGCCCGAAGCCUCCGUGCCGAGGGCACGUCUGCCUGGGCGUCACGCACAGCGUCGCCCUCCACCCCCGCCGCAGAGGAACCGCGGGGUGCUGGGCCGGAGAUUGGCCUCCCGUGCGCGUCCGUGUGCGGCCGGCCCAAAUGCGAUUCGGCGUCGACGCGCGCCGCGGCAAUUGGUGGUUGAAGGCCUCAACUCGCGCGUUGUCGGGCAGGAGCGCGGCGUUCGUCCCGAAUGCUUCGACCCCUCGGUGCUCCGCACCUCCGAAGCGACCCCAGGUCAGGCGGGAUCACCCGCUGAGUUUAAGCAUAUCAAUAAGCGGAGGA